RNAcentral lists this transfer RNA (72 nucleotides) under Marmota marmota marmota (Alpine marmot). It matches the Rfam family "tRNA". From Rfam's summary of the family: Transfer RNA (tRNA) molecules are approximately 80 nucleotides in length. Their secondary structure includes four short double-helical elements and three loops (D, anti-codon, and T loops). Lineage: Eukaryota; Metazoa; Chordata; Mammalia; Rodentia; Sciuridae. RNAcentral also lists the same sequence under 1 other name. The record is from Rfam by way of RNAcentral.
GGGAGUGUAGCUCAGUGGUAAAAUGCAUGCCUAGUAUGCAUGAGAACUUGGGUUUGAUCCCCAGCACUACAA